GACAGGAGGUGCCGAGCGUUAGGCGGAAUCACUGGGCUUAAAGCGUGUGUAGGCGGGCGGGCAAGUACCUUGUGAAAUCCCACGGCUCAACCGUGGAACGGCUGGGUAUACUGCCUGUCUUGAGCCAACUAGGGGCGAGCGGAACAGACGGUGGAGCGGUGAAAUGCGUAGAUAUCGUCUGGAACGCCAAAGGUGAAAACAGCUCGCUGGGGUUGUGCUGACGCUGAGACACGAAAGCCAGGGGAGCGAACGGG
This 254-nucleotide ribosomal RNA is filed under the name uncultured bacterium. RNAcentral describes it as "partial 16S ribosomal RNA". It matches the Rfam family "Bacterial small subunit ribosomal RNA", at positions 524 to 776 of the family's 1533-position model. The record is from RNAcentral.